RNAcentral lists this ribosomal RNA (632 nucleotides) under uncultured Methanomicrobiales archaeon. Its description in RNAcentral is "bacterial SSU rRNA". It matches the Rfam family "Archaeal small subunit ribosomal RNA", at positions 21 to 661 of the family's 1478-position model. The record is from RNAcentral. Lineage: Archaea; Methanobacteriati; Methanobacteriota; Methanomicrobia; Methanomicrobiales.
AGGCCACUGCUAUCGGAGUUCGAUUAAGCCAUGCGAGUCGAGAGGUGUAAGACCUCGGCAUACUGCUCAGUAACACGUGGACAACCUAACCUGAAGAGGGGGAUAACCCCGGGAAACUGGGGAUAAUACCCCAUAGAUUAUGGAUGCUGGAAUGCUCUGUAGUUGAAAGGUCCGCCGCUUCAGGAUGGGUCUGCGGCCGAUUAGGUUGUUGUUGGGGUAACGGCCCAACAAGCCUGUAAUCGGUACGGGUUGUGGGAGCAAGAGCCCGGAGAUGGAUUCUGAGACACGAAUCCAGGCCCUACGGGGCGCAGCAGGCGCGAAAACUUUACAAUGCGAGCAAUCGUGAUAAGGGAACUCCGAGUGCCUGUAAAAUCAGGCUGUCCGCCAGUGUAAAUAACUGGUGAAGAAAGGGCCGGGCAAGACCGGUGCCAGCCGCCGCGGUAAUACCGGCGGCUCGAGUGGUGGCCACUAUUACUGGGCUUAAAGCGUUCGUAGCUGGUCUGUUAAGUCUCUGGGGAAAUCUUCCGGCUUAACCGGAAGGCGUCUCGGGGAUACUGGCAGACUAGGGACCGGAAGAGGUGAGAGGUACUCCAGGGGUAGGAGUGAAAUCCUGUAAUCCUUGGGGGACCACC